This 1473-nucleotide ribosomal RNA is filed under the name Rimicaris exoculata. RNAcentral's name for it is "SSU rRNA". It matches the Rfam family "Eukaryotic small subunit ribosomal RNA", at positions 394 to 1804 of the family's 1831-position model. The record is from RNAcentral. Lineage: Eukaryota; Metazoa; Arthropoda; Malacostraca; Decapoda; Alvinocarididae.
GCCUGAGAAACGGCUACCACAUCCAAGGAAGGCAGCAGGCACGCAAAUUACCCAAUCCCAGCCCUGGGAGGUAGUGACGAAAAAUAACAAUGCGGGACUCUUCCGAGUCUGCGUAAUUGGAAUGAGCACACUUUAAAUCCUUUAGCAACAACCAAUUGGAGGGCAAGUCUGGUGCCAGCAGCCGCGGUAAUUCCAGCUCCAAUAGCGUAUAUUAAAGUUGUUGCGGUUAAAAAGCUCGUAGUCCGAGUUCAGUUCCGGACUGGCCGGGGAGGUCACCGCCCGGUGCUUCCCCGUCAGGCUCCGAACAGCUUUUAUGACUAAAAGCCAAGCCGGUUUUCGCCGGGGUGCUCUUCACCGAGUGUCCCGCGCGGCCGGCCAGUUCACCUUGAAUAAAUGAGAGUGCUCAAAGCAGGCUACUCUUAAAAAUAAAGCCCGAAUGUUACCUGCAUGGAAUGAUGGAAGAUGAUCUCGGUUCCAUUUUAUUGGUUCUGGGAGUCCGAGUUAAUGAUAAACAGGGACUGUCGGGGGCAUCCGUACUACGACGCGAGAGGUGAAAUUCAGUGACCGUCGUAGGACGAACAACAGCGAAAGCAUUUGCCAAGAAUGUCUUCGUUGAUCAAGAACGAAAGUUAGAGGAUCGAAGGCGAUCAGAUACCGCCCUAGUUCUAACCCUAAACGAUGCUGACUAGCAAUCCGCCGUCGUUAUUCCCAUGACGUGGCGGGACGCCCCCGGGAAACCUCAAGUCUUUGAGUUCCGGGGGUAGUAUGGUUGCAAAACUGAAACUUAAAGGAAUUGACGGAAGGGCACCACCAGGAGUGGAGCCUGCGGCUUAAUUUGACUCAACACGGGAAACCUCACCAGGCCCGGACACCAGAAGGAUUGACAGAUUAAGAGCUCUUUCUCGAUUUGGUGGGUGGUGGUGCAUGGCCGUUCUUAGUUGGUGGAGUGAUUUGUCUGGUUAAUUCCGGUAACGAACGAGACUCUGGCCUACUAAAUAGUCGACGUGGGUUUUGGUGCAUGGGCCCCGUUCGACAAUGUCUUCUUAGAGGGAUGAGCAGCGAGUAUAGCUGCAGGAGAUUGAGCAAUAACAGGUCUGUGAUGCCCUUAGAUGUCCUGGGCCGCACGCGCGCUACACUGAAUGGGUUAGCGGGUUCUCCUUCUCCGAGAGGAGAGGGAAAUCGCGUGAAAACCAUUCGUGAUAGGGAUUGGGGCUUGCAAUUGUUUCCCAUGAACGAGGAAUUCCCAGUAAGCGCAAGUCAUCAGCUUGCGUUGAUUAAGUCCCUGCCCUUUGUACACACCGCCCGUCGCUACUACCGAUUGAAUGAUUUAGUGAGGCCUUCGGACUGGCGGUCUUGGACUGGGCUCCACUCGCCAUCACUCCAGCAAUGGGGGGCGGUGGACUCGCCAUGACGAGCCGGAAAGAUGUCCAAACUUGAUCAUUUAGAGGAAGUAAAAGUCGUAACAAGGUUUCC